This 390-nucleotide ribosomal RNA is filed under the name uncultured bacterium. Its description in RNAcentral is "bacterial SSU rRNA". It matches the Rfam family "Bacterial small subunit ribosomal RNA", at positions 30 to 424 of the family's 1533-position model. The record is from RNAcentral.
AUUGAACGCUGGCGGAAUGCUUUACACAUGCAAGUCGAACGGUAGAGGGGGCAACCCCUUGAGAGUGGCGAACGGGUGAGUAAUAUAUCGGAACGUGCCCAGUCGUGGGGAUAACGUAGCGAAAGUUACGCUAAUACCGCAUACGAUCUAAGGAUGAAAGCGGGGGACUCGCAAGAGCCUCGCGCGAUUGGAGCGGCCGAUAUCAGAUUAGGUAGUUGGUGGGGUAAAGGCUCACCAAGCCAACGAUCUGUAGCUGGUCUGAGAGGACGACCAGCCACACUGGGACUGAGACACGGCCCAGACUCCUACGGGAGGCAGCAGUGGGGAAUUUUGGACAAUGGGCGCAAGCCUGAUCCAGCAAUGCCGCGUGCAGGAUGAAGGCCUUGGGUU